AUUGAACGCUAGCGGGAUGCCUUACACAUGCAAGUCGAACGGAGUGGCGAACGGGUGAGUAAUGUAUCGGAACGUGCCCAGUAGCGGGGGCUAACUACGCGAAAGCGUAGCUAAUACCGCAUACUAUUGGAGCGGCCGAUAUCGGAUUAGCUAGUUGGUGGGGUAACGGCUCACGAAGGCGACGAUCCGUAGCUGGGUUGAGAGGACGACCAGCCACACUGGGAAUGAGACACGGCCCAGACGCCUACGGGAGGCAGCAGUGGGGAAUAUUGGACAAGGGGGGAAACCCUGAUGCAGCCAUGCCGCGUGUGGGAAGAAGGCCGUCGGGUUGUAAGGCACUUUAGGCAGGGAAGCGUUGCCUGCAGAAUAAGCACCGGCUAACUACGUGCCAGCCGCCGCGGUAAUAC
RNAcentral lists this ribosomal RNA (407 nucleotides) under uncultured bacterium. Its description in RNAcentral is "partial 16S ribosomal RNA". It matches the Rfam family "Bacterial small subunit ribosomal RNA", at positions 29 to 526 of the family's 1533-position model. The record is from RNAcentral.